RNAcentral lists this ribosomal RNA (490 nucleotides) under uncultured bacterium. Its description in RNAcentral is "partial 16S ribosomal RNA". It matches the Rfam family "Bacterial small subunit ribosomal RNA", at positions 28 to 507 of the family's 1533-position model. The record is from RNAcentral.
GAUGAACGCUAGCUACAGGCUUAACACAUGCAAGUCGAGGGGAAACGAUGAGAGAGCUUGCUCUCUUAGGCGUCGACCGGCGCACGGGUGAGUAACGCGUAUCCAACCUACCCAUUACAGGGGGAUAACCUUGCGAAAGUAAGACUAAUACCCCAUGGCAUUUUAUGGUGGCAUCAUUAUAGGAUUAAAGAUUUAUUGGUAAUGGAUGGGGAUGCGUCUGAUUAGCUUGUUGGCGGGGUAACGGCCCACCAAGGCAACGAUCAGUAGGGGUUCUGAGAGGAAGGUCCCCCACAUUGGAACUGAGACACGGUCCAAACUCCUACGGGAGGCAGCAGUGAGGAAUACUGGUCAAUGGGCGAGAGCUUGAACCAGCCAAGUAGCGUGCAGGAUGACGGCCCUAUGGGUUGUAAACUGCUUUUAUAGGGGAAUAAAGUGGGCUACGUGUAGUUUAUUGCAUGUACCCUAUGAAUAAGGACCGGCUAAUUCCGUG